GCCUUCUGAUAACAUGGAACGGUUACUUUGAAAUGAAGAUGUAAUAUUGAUUACCAUGGUAACUAAUGUGAGCUUUUGAAAUGUUCAUUUGAAAGAAACAAUGGUAAAGUUCUUUCCUAAAUAAGAUCAGUGAUAAUGCACCUUGAUGUGCAUUUCAGCAGUGCAAAUAGAAAAGGAAAUGGCUAGUUUUGCCAGUAUUGAUAUUUUUUUUGGUAUUUCAGAAGAAGAUAGUUUUGGAUCAGACAUGGACUAAUCAGCAAAUGGUGCAAGCAGCAUCAAAGGGUGGUGGUGGAGGAGAACCAGCGGCCAAGAGAGUCAGACUCGGCCACCACCAAGGCAGUAUGGGCGGCCAGCAGAAUUUUUCUCACAUUCAGCGAAAUCAUCCUAGUCAGCAACAUCCGGGUCAUGUCCAACAGGGUGGGAUGAUGAGCUACAACAACACUCAACAGAACGGAAAUUUCAGCCAUGGCCAGAGAUAUUAAAGAAUAGUAGUAAUAAUAAUAAUAAAAUACUGUUCAUAUUUAUUGUUAUGGCAUUACCUACUGUACUACAUCCCAGGGUGAUGUUGAAGGUGAUUUAAAAAAAAAAAAAAGUU
Penaeus indicus is the source of this 595-nucleotide long non-coding RNA. RefSeq lists it as uncharacterized. Lineage: Eukaryota; Metazoa; Arthropoda; Malacostraca; Decapoda; Penaeidae. The transcript has 3 exons. The record is from RefSeq and is a predicted model, not a curated record.